AUGGCUGGUACAACGAGUCGCAAGUCGGUGACGGCAAGCUAAUCUCUUAAAGCCAGUCUCAGUUCGGAUUGUAGGCUGCAACUCGCCUACAUGAAGUCGGAAUCGCUAGUAAUCGCGGAUCAGCACGCCGCGGUGAAUACGUUCCCGGGCCUUGUACACACCGCCCGUCACACCACGAGAGUUUGUAACACCCGAAGUCGGUGAGGUAACCUUUUAGGAGCCAGCCGCCUAAGGUGGGAUAGAUGAUUGGGGUGAAGUCGUAACAAGGUAGCCGUAUCGGAAGGUGCGGCUGGAUCACCUCCUUUCUAAGGAA
This 313-nucleotide ribosomal RNA is filed under the name Listeria monocytogenes. Its description in RNAcentral is "partial 16S ribosomal RNA". It matches the Rfam family "Bacterial small subunit ribosomal RNA", at positions 1230 to 1533 of the family's 1533-position model. The record is from RNAcentral. Lineage: Bacteria; Bacillati; Bacillota; Bacilli; Caryophanales; Listeriaceae.